RNAcentral lists this ribosomal RNA (1350 nucleotides) under uncultured bacterium. Its description in RNAcentral is "16S ribosomal RNA". It matches the Rfam family "Bacterial small subunit ribosomal RNA". The record is from RNAcentral.
ACGAGCGGCGGACGGCUGAGUAACGCGUAGGAACAUACCCCAAAGUGAGGGAUAAGCAUCAGAAAUGGUGUCUAAUACCGCAUGUGGUCUUCGGAUUAAAGCUUUAUGCGCUUUGGGAAUGGCCUGCGUCUGAUUAGUUAGUUGGUAAGGUAAUGGCUUACCAAGACAAUGAUCGGUAGCUGGUCUGAGAGGAUGACCAGCCAGACUGGAACUGAGACACGGUCCAGACUCCUACGGGAGGCAGCAGUAGGGAAUUUUCCACAAUGGACGAAAGUCUGAUGGAGCAACGCCGCGUGCAGGAUGAAGGCUUUCGGGUCGUAAACUGCUUUUAUGUGCGAGGAUUAUGACAGUAACACAUGAAUAAGGGUCGGCUAACUACGUGCCAGCAGCCGCGGUCAUACGUAGGACCCAAGCGUUAUCCGGAAUUACUGGGCGUAAAGAGUUGCGUAGGUGGCAUAGUAAGUAAGAAGUGAAAGCGUUCGGCUCAACCGGAUAAACAUUUCUUAAACUGCUAAGCUAGAGAAUGAGAGAGGUAGAUGGAAUUUCCAGUGUAGGAGUAAAAUCCGUAGAUAUUGGUAGGAACACCGAUGGCGUAGGCAGUCUACUGGCUCAUUUCUGACACUAAGGCACGAAAGCGUGGGGAGCAAACAGGAUUAGAUACCCUGGUAGUCCACGCCGUAAACUAUGGAUGCUAGCUGUUAGAAGUAUCGACCCUUCUAGUAGCGAAGCUAACGCGUUAAGCAUCCCGCCUGUGGAGUACGGUCGCAAGACUAAAACAUAAAGGAAUUGACGGGGACCCGCACAAGCGGUGGAGCGUGUUGUUUAAUUCGACGGUAAGCGAAGAACCUUACCCAGGUUUGACAUCCUUGGAAGCUUUGCGAAAGCAGAGUGUGCCUUCGGGAACCAAGUGACAGGUGAUGCAUGGCCGUCUUCAGCUCGUGUCGUGAGAUGUUUGGUUAAGUCCAUUAACGAGCGCAACCCUUAUAGUUAGUUGAAUUUUUCUAGCUAGACUGCCCUGGCAACAGGGAGGAAGGAGGGGAUGAUGUCAGGUCAGUAUCUCCCUUACAUCUGGGGCUACAAACACGCUACAAUGGCCGGUACAAAGGGCAGCCAACCCGCGAGGGGGAGCAAAUCCUAUCAAAGCCGGUCUCAGUUCGGAUUGCAGGCUGAAACUCGCCUGCAUGAAGUCGGAAUCGCUAGUAACGGUAGGUCAGCACACUACCGUGAAUACGUUCCCGGGUCUUGUACACACCGCCCGUCAAACCAUGAAAGUCGCCAAUACCUGACGUCCUAGCUUGUCUAGGCCUAAGGUAGGGGAGAUGAUUGGGGUUAAGUCGUAACAAGGUAACC